UCAAAAAUCCAAAAAGAGGUGGCUGUAAACGCUAGUACACAACUGUUACAGUGUGUUAAUUCAUGUCCUACAUCGUCAGAUAUUGGUCUGCAGCAAAGUAAAUGUGUUUGUUUAAGUACAAUGUCAUUGGCAAACUCUGAUGUCACUGGUGCAGCUACCAGAAGUUUCUGUAAUGGUGACGAAAAUGCAUUCUGUGUUUCCGAUCAAGCUGGAGUAUAUCAAUACGCUUUGUAUUCAAGAAGUCCUGCUGCACGUUCUAUAAAUAAUGGGAUCGGAGACUGUCUGGUUAUGACAAUUAACAAAUUUUCAAUUCCUUCCGUUUAUUUCGAACCCGCUCCAUGUGGUACAUAUCUUAAUCCUCAUUGUUU
Mytilus californianus (California mussel) is the source of this 368-nucleotide long non-coding RNA. RefSeq lists it as uncharacterized. Lineage: Eukaryota; Metazoa; Mollusca; Bivalvia; Mytilida; Mytilidae. The record is from RefSeq and is a predicted model, not a curated record. The transcript has 3 exons.